RNAcentral lists this long non-coding RNA (203 nucleotides) under Elaeis guineensis (African oil palm). RNAcentral's name for it is "long non-coding RNA (EGUI_LNC073118)". The record is from RNAcentral. Lineage: Eukaryota; Viridiplantae; Streptophyta; Magnoliopsida; Arecales; Arecaceae.
GCAUUGCCUUGCUUUAGGCAUAAGAGAUUAGACGAAAAUUUCUCCUCUUGGGUGAGUGACCUAGAUUUUGAUCUAGGAUUUUUCAGAGAGAGAAAAACAAAGAGAAAAAUUAUUUAUCUAUUUUUCUUCCUACCUCUCUUCAUCCUCUAUUGGUCUAUCUUCGACAUCGGAAGGGUCCAAGUCAUUCGAAGAAAGAAAUCAAG